This 69-nucleotide transfer RNA is filed under the name Porochilus rendahli. RNAcentral describes it as "tRNA-Arg". It matches the Rfam family "tRNA". From Rfam's summary of the family: Transfer RNA (tRNA) molecules are approximately 80 nucleotides in length. Their secondary structure includes four short double-helical elements and three loops (D, anti-codon, and T loops). Lineage: Eukaryota; Metazoa; Chordata; Actinopteri; Siluriformes; Plotosidae. The record is from RNAcentral.
AGGGUGUUAGUCCAAAAAAGACCUCUGAUUUCGGCUCAGAAAAUUACAGUUAAAAUCUGUAACCCCCUU